RNAcentral lists this ribosomal RNA (853 nucleotides) under uncultured bacterium. RNAcentral's name for it is "bacterial SSU rRNA". It matches the Rfam family "Bacterial small subunit ribosomal RNA", at positions 60 to 900 of the family's 1533-position model. The record is from RNAcentral.
AGUCGAGGGGCAGCGGGGGAGUAGCAAUACUCCCGCCGGCGACCGGCGCACGGGUGAGUAACACGUAUGAAACCUGCCCGUAGCAGGGGGAUAAGCGGAAGAAAUUCCGUCUAAUACCGCGUAACAACCCAUGGAGGCAUCUCUGUGGGUUUAAAGGAAGCGAUUCCGGCUACGGAUGGUCAUGCGUCGCAUUAGCUUGUUGGCGGGGUAACGGCCCACCAAGGCGACGAUGCGUAGGGGUUCUGAGAGGAAGGUCCCCCACACUGGUACUGAGACACGGACCAGACUCCUACGGGAGGCAGCAGUGAGGAAUAUUGGUCAAUGGCCGCAGGGCUGAACCAGCCAAGUCGCGUGAGGGAUGACGGUCCUAUGGAUUGUAAACCUCUUUUGUCAGGGAGCAAAGGGCGCCACGUGUGGCGCUUUGCGAGUACCUGAAGAAAAAGCAUCGGCUAACUCCGUGCCAGCAGCCGCGGUAAUACGGAGGAUGCGAGCGUUAUCCGGAUUUAUUGGGUUUAAAGGGUGCGCAGGCGGAAUGUCAAGUCAGCGGUAAAAUUUCGGGGCUCAACCCCGUCGUGCCGUUGAAACUGGCGUUCUUGAGUGAGCGAGAAGUACGCGGAAUGCGUGGUGUAGCGGUGAAAUGCAUAGAUAUCACGCAGAACUCCGAUUGCGAAGGCAGCAUACCGGCGCUCAACUGACGCUCAUGCACGAAAGCGUGGGUAUCGAACAGGAUUAGAUACCCUGGUAGUCCACGCAGUAAACGAUGAAUACUAACUGUCCGGGCAGAAUGAUGCCUGGGUGGUACAGCGAAAGCGUUAAGUAUUCCACCUGGGGAGUACGCCGGCAACGGUGAAAC